CUUUGCCGCCAGCUAGCUCUCUGCAACUCUCACAUGGUGGCCCUCUGAAGCUAAGCAGGGCUGCACCCGGUAAGUUCCUGGAUGAGAGACCACAUGGAAAAGCUAUAGGUUGCUGCUGAAA
Molecule: ribosomal RNA, 121 nt
Filed under: Danio rerio (zebrafish)
Lineage: Eukaryota; Metazoa; Chordata; Actinopteri; Cypriniformes; Danionidae
Source: RNAcentral